RNAcentral lists this ribosomal RNA (457 nucleotides) under uncultured bacterium. RNAcentral's name for it is "bacterial SSU rRNA". It matches the Rfam family "Bacterial small subunit ribosomal RNA", at positions 340 to 786 of the family's 1533-position model. The record is from RNAcentral.
UACGGGAGGCAGCAGUGGGGAAUAUUGCACAAUGGGCGCAAGCCUGAUGCAGCCAUGCCGCGUGUAUGAAGAAGGCCUUCGGGUUGUAAAAGUACUUUCAGCGGGGAGGAAGGCGGUGGAGUUAAUAGCUUCACCGAUUGACGUUACCCGCAGAAGAAGCACCGGCUAACUCCGUGCCAGCAGCCGCGGUAAUACGGAGGGUGCAAGCGUUAAUCGGAAUUACUGGGCGUAAAAGCGCACGCAGGCGGUCUGUCAAGUCGGAUGUGAAAUCCCCGGGCUUAACCUGGGAACUGCAUUCGAAACUGGCAGGCUAGAGUCUUGUAGAGGGGGUAGAAUUCCAGGUGUAGCGGUGAAAUGCGUAGAGAUCUGGAGGAAUACCGGUGGCGAAGGCGGCCCCUGGGACAAAGACUGACGCUCAGGGUGCGAAAGCUGGGGAGCGAAACAGGGAUUAGAUACC